This 112-nucleotide ribosomal RNA is filed under the name Jaculus jaculus (lesser Egyptian jerboa). Lineage: Eukaryota; Metazoa; Chordata; Mammalia; Rodentia; Dipodidae. The record is from RNAcentral.
GUCGAGGGCCAUACCCCCCUGAACAUACCAGUCUUAUCUGAUCGUGGAAGCUAAGCGAGGUUGGGCCUGGUUAGUACUUGGAAAGAAGUGCAAUAUCAUGACAGUGUCAUCC